This 368-nucleotide ribosomal RNA is filed under the name uncultured organism. RNAcentral describes it as "bacterial SSU rRNA". It matches the Rfam family "Bacterial small subunit ribosomal RNA", at positions 526 to 896 of the family's 1533-position model. The record is from RNAcentral.
CGAAGGAUCCAAGCGUUGUCCGGAUUUACUGGGUUUAAAGGGUGCGUAGGCGGACUACUAAGUCAGUGGUGAAAGCUUGCAGCUUAACUGUAAAAUUGCCAUUGAAACUGAUAGUCUCGAAUAUGGUUGAGGUGGUUGGAAUGUAUCAUGUAGCGGUGAAAUGCUUAGAUAUGAUACAGAACACCGAUUGCGAAGGCAGAUCACUAAACCAUUAUUGACGCUGAGGCACGAAAGCGUGGGGAUCAAACAGGAUUAGAUACCCUGGUAGUCCACGCCCUAAACGUCGCAUACUCGGUUUUAGCGAUAAACAGUUAGAACCCAAGCGAAAGCGUUAAGUAUGCCACCUGGGAAGUACGUCCGCAAGGAUG